GAGUAGAAGCAGGCUGAUUCAAUCAGACGUACAGACAACCUGUCGCACACCCACACAGCAGACAGGGUUUUUUUUUUUAAUUUGAGGUGACACAGAUUUUGAAAAGAGUCCACUCAGUCUGCACCAUGCUGCACCCUUUAAUCAUCGGCAUUGUGACCGUAAACACUUCCCUCACCGUUGUCUAUUGGACCUUCCUCCUGGGAGAUGCCUACUUCAAGUGGCUGGUGGAGCCAGAAGACAAACCCAAGAAGGUGGUCACCCCAGCCUGAGGGAGUCACAGUCAAUAUGGACCUGCUUGGCUGAGUGACUGGGUGUUAUUUUUGCGUAGGACUAGUUCAGCUUGUAGUGCUUUCUGUGGAGUCUGAUUUUGCAGUCAAUUUGCUUCUUGUUUCACCCGAAGAAGAUCUGGAACCCCGCUGUGAACUUUAAAAUUAACUGAACUGAAUGAAUCCCGCAAGUGAACGAGAAAGGAAUCCUUCUCACAGAGCUGUCUGUGUACAACACACGCUAAUUUGGAAGUCCUUUCAUGCACAAGUCAAAGAAAAAAGCUGAGGAGCCGGUUUGAAGUCUUGAUUACAAGACUGGAUUCUUGGCCCCAAACCAGUGGAGGAUGAUUCAGAGGAAGCAAAAGCAGAACUAGAAGCAGAGCGCCGACAGAGUUUUCCCAGUGAGCUGAGGGGGAAAGACAUGCUGAGGAUGGAGGAGGAAAAGGACAGGCCACUGCCCGGUUUCUACCAGAGUGAAGGAGGCUGCCGCCGUCCAUCCACCCCUCCUCCACUGAGAAGUGCCAUCACUUCGUCAUACACUGGAGAAAAAAGGAUAUCCGCUCACAGUGUCACCUUCGCCUGCCCUGCGACCCCUUAUGUCACCUCCCUCUGAGUUUUUGUCACAAAAGUCAUUCAGAUACAUUUUUGUCUCAUCUCUCAUUUCAGUGCAGUAAUCAGUGUUGUCUCUUUGCUGUAGUAAUGCUUAAGCUAAAGCUAUUUUUGUUUUCUAUAAAAACAAAUGUUGGUCAACAGUUAUAGUUUUGAUUCAUUUUACAAGAAAAUGCUUCCUGUCAUCACUUAUUAAAAAAGUUAGUGUAAAAAAAGGUCCACAUUGUCAAUAAUUUCAUUAUAUUGCACUAUAUUAUUAUUCGUGGUCCAAUUGCUCAUGCUACAAAAUGUAAAUUAUGCACUAUGUAAACUUCAGUGAUGUUAAUAGGACCUGCAAAAAGGACAUUUUAUUUUGAUAACUGACAUCAAAGCUAAAAAAAAUAGUUUGACUUGAAAAUACCUCUCAAUGAAAAUGUCAAAUUCCUCCUAAGUGUUGUUAAAUUGCACAUAAAUUUCCAUUUCGGUGCAUCUUCCACUGUCAUGACUAUCAUUUUCCAAUUACUUCACACUUGUUGCUGUAAUGUUUUUCUGAAGAAAACACACAUCAGUUUUCCUGUUCUGGUGUUGGGACUAAGCUUCUCUCCAGUAAACAGCUGAAUAAUACAAGA
This is a long non-coding RNA of Seriola dumerili (greater amberjack), 1483 nucleotides long. RefSeq lists it as uncharacterized. The record is from RefSeq and is a predicted model, not a curated record. NCBI's taxonomy places the organism in Eukaryota, Metazoa, Chordata, Actinopteri, Carangiformes, Carangidae. The transcript is spliced from 3 exons.